Dermacentor andersoni is the source of this 429-nucleotide non-coding RNA. The record is from RefSeq and is a predicted model, not a curated record. Lineage: Eukaryota; Metazoa; Arthropoda; Arachnida; Ixodida; Ixodidae.
UGGAAAAUUACCUGUCGAGAGUGCUGGCCAGCUCAUAUAAAAGGUGGAGUUUUGCAAGGCUGUUUCAGUGGGCUUGUUUCCAUCGUUAAACGCAUAGCGCUGCUCUGUUCGCAGAAAAGGUCAAGAUGGUGAAAUCUCGGGGAGCUUUCAUUGCGCUUUCUCUUCUCGUUGUCCUCUUGGUCUUCACCGCGCCUGCAGUUGGAACUUUAGGUGCGCUCACGGCUGCCAUCAAUCAAAUCCAAGAGCAACAAGGGCGCCUCGAUGUUGAGCCGACAGCCGACGCGUGAAAGGCACAAAACUGACAACCCAAGUUCAUGGCGUUUUGUAAACCUACGUACAUAAUAGAUGAAAAGACUAAUAAAGUGUGCCUUGAAACCCACAGUCCCUGAAGCUAAUGCUUUUCUUCCAGAUAUGCAUACAGAAUCAUUC